CUUUUUUUUUUUUUUUUUUUUUUUUUUUUUUUUUUUUUUUUUUUUUC
This 47-nucleotide non-coding RNA is filed under the name Alexandrium minutum. Lineage: Eukaryota; Dinophyceae; Gonyaulacales; Pyrocystaceae. The record is from RNAcentral.